UAAGGAAUAUUGGUCAAUGGACGCAAGUCUGAACCAGCCAUGCCGCGUGAAGGAUGAAGGCCCUCUGGAUUGUAAACUUCUUUUAUCUGGGACGAAAACGGGAUUUUUAUCUCAAUUGACGGUACCAGAGGAAUAAGCACCGGCUAACUCCGUGCCAGCAGCCGCGGUAAUACGGAGGGUGCGAGCGUUAUCCGGAUUUACUGGGUUUAAAGGGUGCGUAGGUGGGCUUAUAAGUCAGUGGUGAAAUCUCCGAGCUUAACUUGGAAACUGCCGUUGAUACUAUAGGUCUUGAAUUAUCUGGAGGUAAGCGGAAUAUGGCAUGUAGCGGUGAAAUGCUUAGAUAUGACAUAGAACACCAAUUGCGAAGGCAGCUUACUACAUAUAAAUUGACGCUGAGGCACGAAAGCGUGGGG
RNAcentral lists this ribosomal RNA (413 nucleotides) under uncultured bacterium. RNAcentral describes it as "bacterial SSU rRNA". It matches the Rfam family "Bacterial small subunit ribosomal RNA", at positions 355 to 766 of the family's 1533-position model. The record is from RNAcentral.